This 263-nucleotide ribosomal RNA is filed under the name uncultured bacterium. RNAcentral describes it as "partial 16S ribosomal RNA". It matches the Rfam family "Bacterial small subunit ribosomal RNA", at positions 333 to 588 of the family's 1533-position model. The record is from RNAcentral.
GUGGUCCUACGGGGGGCAGCAGUAGGGAAUCUUCCACAAUGGGCGAAAGCCUGAUGGAGCAACGCCGCGUGGGUGAAGAAGGUCUUCGGAUCGUAAAACCCUGUUGUUAGAGAAGAAAGUGCGUGAGAGUAACUGUUCACGUUUCGACGGUAUCUAACCAGAAAGCCACGGCUAACUACGUGCCCGCCGCCGCGGUAAUACGUAGGUGGCAAGCGUUAUCCGGAUUUAUUGGGCGUAAAGGGAACGCAGGCGGGCUUUUAAGU